UUGAUCCUGGCUCAGGAUGAACGCUGGCGGCGUGCCUAAUACAUGCAAGUCGAGCGAACGGACGAGAAGCUUGCUUCUCUGAUGUUAGCGGCGGACGGGUGAGUAACACGUGGAUAACCUACCUAUAAGACUGGGAUAACUUCGGGAAACCGGAGCUAAUACCGGAUAAUAUUUUGAACCGCAUGGUUCAAAAGUGAAAGACGGUCUUGCUGUCACUUAUAGAUGGAUCCGCGCUGCAUUAGCUAGUUGGUAAGGUAACGGCUUACCAAGGCAACGAUGCAUAGCCGACCUGAGAGGGUGAUCGGCCACACUGGAACUGAGACACGGUCCAGACUCCUACGGGAGGCAGCAGUAGGGAAUCUUCCGCAAUGGGCGAAAGCCUGACGGAGCAACGCCGCGUGAGUGAUGAAGGUCUUCGGAUCGUAAAACUCUGUUAUUAGGGAAGAACAUAUGUGUAAGUAACUGUGCACAUCUUGACGGUACCUAAUCAGAAAGCCACGGCUAACUACGUGCCAGCAGCCGCGGUAAUACGUAGGUGGCAAGCGUUAUCCGGAAUUAUUGGGCGUAAAGCGCGCGUAGGCGGUUUUUUAAGUCUGAUGUGAAAGCCCACGGCUCAACCGUGGAGGGUCAUUGGAAACUGGAAAACUUGAGUGCAGAAGAGGAAAGUGGAAUUCCAUGUGUAGCGGUGAAAUGCGCAGAGAUAUGGAGGAACACCAGUGGCGAAGGCGACUUUCUGGUCUGUAACUGACGCUGAUGUGCGAAAGCGUGGGGAUCAAACAGGAUUAGAUACCCUGGUAGUCCACGCCGUAAACGAUGAGUGCUAAGUGUUAGGGGGUUUCCGCCCCUUAGUGCUGCAGCUAACGCAUUAAGCACUCCGCCUGGGGAGUACGACCGCAAGGUUGAAACUCAAAGGAAUUGACGGGGACCCGCACAAGCGGUGGAGCAUGUGGUUUAAUUCGAAGCAACGCGAAGAACCUUACCAAAUCUUGACAUCCUUUGACAACUCUAGAGAUAGAGCCUUCCCCU
Molecule: ribosomal RNA, 1026 nt
Filed under: Staphylococcus aureus
Lineage: Bacteria; Bacillati; Bacillota; Bacilli; Caryophanales; Staphylococcaceae
Description: bacterial SSU rRNA
Rfam family: Bacterial small subunit ribosomal RNA
Source: RNAcentral